AGCAGCCGCGGUAAUUCCAGCUCCAAUAGCGUAUAUUAAAGUUGUUGCAGUUAAAAAGCUCGUAGUUGAACUUCGGGGUUCACCCAUUGGUCAGGCUUAAUUGUCUGUACUGGUGAGAUGAAUCUCUACCUUCUGAGGAACUUUCAUGCCAUUUAUUUGGUGUGAUGGGAAAUCAGGACUGUUACUUUGAAAAAAUUAGAGUGUUUAAAGCAGGCUAACGUCUGAAUACAUUAGCAUGGAAUAAUGAAAUAGGACGGAUUGAUUCUAUUUCGUUGGUUUCUAGGGUCACCGUAAUGAUUAAUAGGGAUAGUUGGGGGCAUUAGUAUUCAAUUGUCAGAGGUGAAAUUCUUGGAUUUAUUCGAAGACUAACUACUG
Molecule: unclassified non-coding RNA, 375 nt
Filed under: uncultured Glomus
Lineage: Eukaryota; Fungi; Glomeromycota; Glomeromycetes; Glomerales; Glomeraceae
Description: SSU rRNA
Rfam family: Eukaryotic small subunit ribosomal RNA
Source: RNAcentral